UGGGGAAUUUUGGACAAUGGGGGCAACCCUGAUCCAGCAAUGCCGCGUGAGUGAAGAAGGCCUUCGGGUUGUAAAGCUCUUUUGUUGGGGAAGAAAAGGUGAUUUCUAAUACAGGUCACUGAUGACGGUACCCAAAGAAUAAGCACCGGCUAACUACGUGC
RNAcentral lists this ribosomal RNA (161 nucleotides) under uncultured bacterium. RNAcentral describes it as "partial 16S ribosomal RNA". It matches the Rfam family "Bacterial small subunit ribosomal RNA", at positions 355 to 508 of the family's 1533-position model. The record is from RNAcentral.